GCUGCCUCACCUCGCCUCGCCGCUGUUCACAUCCCGCUCUCUUUUUCGCUCGUCUCCUCGCUCUUACCUCUCAAUCGCUCUGUUGCACUUCCUUCCGAUGUGUCGCCGCCGCUUGGACACUGACUUCAUCUUACGGCGACAUCCGCUGAAGCGAUUGCAUGUAAAUGCCGCUCGACAUUACGGAACGGUUCUGUGGCGAUUUUAACCUGCAUUCCCGUUUCAAGAAAGUAGUCAAGGCACAAUUUUGAGAGAAAAGGCAUCCAGUUUACCCGGUUACAGACUUUGGCAAAGCAUUGUCUCAUCGUGCGAAGGUCUAUGAGGAAUUUGCGACUUUACUUGAGCCUGGUUUGGGAAGUAUCAGCCAAUGAGGUUGCAGGUUAUGUAAUUGGACCGGUGUACAACUGCCGACUUUUCUUUGCUCAUCCUCGCUUGCUUUGAGUCAGCAUGGAGGUCUUUGCUGAGUUACGUGCUUUUGGGCACUUUGUGUUGUUGUUUGCAUUCAUGUGUUUGUCCGUGUGCAUGCGCGUGUGCGUGCGCGCGCACUGUGCAGUCCAGUCCAGUUAUUGCAGGCAGCCCUGACACAGAUGGUGCUUGAUACCACAUACCAGAGGUAUUGUUUAGAGAAGGCAAGCUUGAAGAGAUAAUUGACAAGAGACGUAGAGAUAAACCCAACACACACACACACCGCACCGCACUGCCCCCCCUCCCCCAUUUCUCCCCACCCAAACGCACGUUCACGCUCAAACACAUCCCGUCCACCUUUACUCCAUGUCUUUCCGCCAGCCUCUCUUUUACGGUGUUGAAUAACGCUCACCCAAUGACCCUUUCCCGAUUUUAUUUUAACCUCAUCUUUUUUCUUUUUUUCUUUGAUUUUUUUUGUUUAACUAGCAUCCAUUCCUCCCUCUAGCUGCACUCCCUUGCGCUCCUUCAAAUUCACCCUAGCAGCAGAGCCUAGACUGGCUUCUGAUUGGUGGACAGGCUGCUUUUGUGCACUACGUCUAAUGUGACAUCAUGUGUGUGUGUGUGUUGGGUGCAUGCAUGUGUAUUUGUUCAGUAAUGUGCAUGUUUGAAGCAAGAAAGAGGGGGAAGGGGCCGUUGAGAUGACGUUGGAAACCUGUGUGCAGAAAAGGAGAAAAACCACAGAGCGUGCCUGUUUGUGUGCGUGUGCAGAGUAGACCUAUUGGCAUACUAGCACAAGGGAUUUAGAGCAAGGGUGGGGGGUAAAGUGAGAGAGCGAGGGGAAGAGAGAAAGAGAGAGAGAGAGCAUUUGUACGAGGGCUCCGGCAAAACCAGAUUAAAAACACAAAAUGGCUUCCUGAAUGAGCUGGUGGAACCGAGAGAGAGAGAGUGAGACAGAGAGAGAAGGAGGGAAAGAGACUGAAAGAGGAGUGUGUAGUAGAAAGAAAGAGACGAAAGGUCUCGAGAGAUAGAGGUGAAGACGAGGGGGAGCUGGGGCUCCUUGUCUGAUGGGGAUUCUGCAAACGGAUGAAGGAAUACAAAGCAAGGCAGCUGUGAGACUUGGAGGGUGCAAUAUUCGGAAGACAACAGUCCGGGCUUAUCGGGAAACCCUGAAGCGGAUGCCGAGUGAUGUGGAGCGGCGUCCUCAGUUUAAAGCGUCCCACGCUGCCCGCUGAUUGGUGCCGGCGCCGGGCAUGUGUAGAUGCAGGAGGCCGAGGAGAGAAGGAGGGAAGAGAAGGAGGAAGCCUCGAUUCGGGCUUGGGAAUCCAGGAGGGGGCGCGGCGUCCUUCCGAGUCAAAUGAGCGCGUUACGGCCGAGAUCCGCCGUUCCGACUGCGCCGUUCCCGCUCGGCGCCGCCAACUGGUGUUUCUGCGGGGAGGCGCCUACGGCGGCGAGAGUUCAACAGAUGAUUGUGACGGACAUGCCGUGGCAAACGAGCAGUCGGAGAAACGCUUUCUUGGAAAAAGAGACUGCCAUCGUGUGGACAAUAAGUUAACUCAUUCAGUACUAGCCAAUUCUGGAACAAGUCUGAAAAGACGUUUAAAAACGUCUUUGGGAGUGAAUGAGUUCACUAAGUAGGUAAUAUUAAAAAAAAAAAACAAAUAAAUCGCACGUCUGUAUGAAGCAGUGAACGUCUGCAGAAGAAUGUGGUCAAAUGUUUUCUUGCUUGAGCAAAUUGAUGUCCUCCUUUCAGUGUUUUUCCUAAGCUGAGCUUGUUUCUAGCAACAGUUGCCGUGCUUAUCAACACUUCAAUUGAGUUUAUCUCGUGAAGAUCUCGUUUCUCUGUCAGGUUUCCUAUCUGAUUACCAAAAGGUAAACACUAGUCCGAAUACCACAAUUUAAAAAAGAAAAACUGGUCAGAAUCGCCUUCGUCUGAAAUUUCUUUCUUUCUUUGAUGCCGUUAAGGAAGUAGGUUCAACUAAAAGAUUACGAGUACAAGAGCGGGUUACAAGACGAGCUUGGCUUGCUUUCUCACGCUCAGCAUUUCCUUUCAGUGGCAAAAGAAUUUUAAAAUGGUGUCUGUGUUCAGACGUCAGAUAGAAUGUGUAAUCAUCUAGUUAGCAAUUGCAUGGAAUCCCCAGCCGGCUAUGCCAAAUAUUAACCCUGCCCUAGUUUCUAGGGCAACGUUGAGUGGAUGACAACAUCGCCGCUUUCAUGCUAGUUGAGGUACAGCAGCCAAUGGUGGUCACGUACGUAACCCACGAACCAUCACCCACGUGUGUGUGUUGUGUGUGGGUUUGUAGUAGAACAGGAAGUGGUUUGGUGUAUUGCGCAAACUCUGGAAGUGGAAGGUUUGACAACUAGAGUGUAGCAUUGAAUCAUGCGUUCAACACACUUUUUAUGAAAAGUGUUGGGACAAAAGUUUUGGGACUCUUGGCUCAUUACUGCUACAGGAAUUGUAAGACACAUGUAGUCGGAGUGGUCUUGACUCUUCUGGGAAGACUUUCAACACAAAUCAAGAGCGCAUACAGUAUGUCUGGGAAUUUCCUUCAUUUGUCAUACCAAUAUUUGGGAGACUUAUUCCUGUUGAAUGAGGGUCUCGCUCACAAUUGAUGGGGAAAUUCGUCCCCGAGGUGUUUGAUGGGUUAAGGUGAGGGCAUUUCAAGUUCUUUCACAUCAACCCAACAACACAUUUUGCAGUCAUGCUGGGAUACCAAAGGCCACCAACCAAUAAAAGUACCCUUAUUAUGACUAUUAUGAAGAUUACAUUUUCAUAAGGCAUAAUAAAUUGUUUCAAAUCAUUACAUAGUGCAUGCCUGUCAUAUGCUGGGCUCACGUUUUGCCGUUCUGCUUUGCCACGCUCUUGUUCAAAAUAGUGAAAGCUAAUGAUUACCAUGUGAUAUGAGAUUGGACAGAAAAAAAUAGCAAUCAAUUGUGGGCAGAUCUUGAACUUGGAAAAUGGUGAGUAAGACUGUUCUAAGUUGUCGACAAUUGCUUUGUAAAGUCAUAAGUAACCUCUUUUUUAAAUAUUAAUAAAUCUCUGUUCCCAUGAAGUUGGA
Hippocampus zosterae (dwarf seahorse) is the source of this 3458-nucleotide long non-coding RNA. RefSeq lists it as uncharacterized. The record is from RefSeq and is a predicted model, not a curated record. Lineage: Eukaryota; Metazoa; Chordata; Actinopteri; Syngnathiformes; Syngnathidae. The transcript is spliced from 4 exons.